AGCGAACGCUGGCGGCAGGCUUAACACAUGCAAGUCGAGCGGGCACUUUCGGGUGUCCGCGGCGGACGGGUGAGUAACGCGUGGGAACGUGCCCUCUGGUUCGGAAUAACUCAGGGAAACUUGAGCUAAUACCGGAUACGCCCUUUUGGGGAAAGGCUUGCUGCCGGAGGAUCGGCCCGCGUCUGAUUAGCUAGUUGGUGAGGUAACGGCUCACCAAGGCGACGAUCAGUAGCUGGUCUGAGAGGAUGAUCAGCCACACUGGGACUGAGACACGGCCCAGACUCCUACGGGAGGCGGCAGUGGGGAAUAUUGGACAAUGGGCGCAAGCCUGAUCCAGCCACGCCGCGUGAGUGAUGAAGGCCUUAGGGUUGUAAAGCUCUUUUAUCCGGGACGAUAAUGACGGUACCGGAGGAAUAAGCCCCGGCUAACUUCGUA
RNAcentral lists this ribosomal RNA (435 nucleotides) under uncultured bacterium. Its description in RNAcentral is "partial 16S ribosomal RNA". It matches the Rfam family "Bacterial small subunit ribosomal RNA", at positions 29 to 507 of the family's 1533-position model. The record is from RNAcentral.